RNAcentral lists this ribosomal RNA (253 nucleotides) under uncultured bacterium. Its description in RNAcentral is "partial 16S ribosomal RNA". It matches the Rfam family "Bacterial small subunit ribosomal RNA", at positions 524 to 776 of the family's 1533-position model. The record is from RNAcentral.
UACGUAGGGUGCGAGCGUUGUCCGGAUUCAUUGGGCGUAAAGAGCUCGUAGGCGGCUGUUCAAGUCGAACGUGAAAACUCGGAGCUCAACUCCGAGCCUGCGUUCGAUACUGGAUGGCUAGAGUCUGGUAGGGGGAUCUGGAAUUCCUGGUGUAGCGGUGGAAUGCGCAGAUAUCAGGAGGAACACCGGUGGCGAAGGCGGGAUCCUGGACCGGCAUUGACGCUGAGGCGCGAAAGCUAGGGGAGCAAACGGG